GGCUGGUGCAAAGGUAGUGAGUUAUCUCAAUUGAUUGUUCAGUUACAGAUCAAAUGCCUUGUUCUACUUUAUUCCCUCUUCUCACUACUGCGCUUGACUAGUCUAAA
RNAcentral lists this Y RNA (107 nucleotides) under Chlorocebus sabaeus (green monkey). It matches the Rfam family "Y RNA". Rfam says of the family: Y RNAs are components of the Ro ribonucleoprotein particle (Ro RNP), in association with Ro60 and La proteins. Lineage: Eukaryota; Metazoa; Chordata; Mammalia; Primates; Cercopithecidae. The record is from Rfam by way of RNAcentral.